GCCUAACACAUGCAAGUCGAGCGCGAAAGUUCCUUCGGAAGCGAGUAGAGCGGCGGACGGGUGAGUAACGCGUAGGAAUCUACCCAGUAGUGGGGGACAACUCGGGGAAACUCGAGCUAAUACCGCAUACGCCCUAAGGGGGAAAGCAGGGGAUCUUCGGACCUUGCGCUAUCGGAUGAGCCUGCGUCGGAUUAGCUUGUUGGUGAGGUAAUGGCUCACCAAGGCGACGAUCCGUAGCUGGUCUGAGAGGAUGAUCAGCCACACUGGGACUGAGACACGGCCCAGACUCCUACGGGAGGCAGCAGUGGGGAAUAUUGGACAAUGGGGGAAACCCUGAUCCAGCCAUGCCGCGUGUGUGAAGAAGGCUCUAGGGUUGUAAAGCACUUUCAGUAGGGAGGAAAAGUUGAUAGCUAAUAACUGUCAGCCCUGACGUUACCUACAGAAGAAGCACCGGCAAACUCCGUGCCAGCAGCCGCGGUAAUACGGAGGGUGCGAGCGUUAAUCGGAAUUACUGGGCGUAAAGCGCGCGUAGGCGGUUUGAUAAGCUGGAUGUGAAAGCCCCGGGCUCAACCUGGGAACUGCAUCCAGAACUGUCUGACUAGAGUACAGUAGAGGUGAGUGGAAUUUCCUGUGUAGCGGUGAAAUGCGUAGAUAUAGGAAGGAACAUCA
This 669-nucleotide ribosomal RNA is filed under the name uncultured bacterium. Its description in RNAcentral is "bacterial SSU rRNA". It matches the Rfam family "Bacterial small subunit ribosomal RNA", at positions 46 to 711 of the family's 1533-position model. The record is from RNAcentral.